AGUGUCAAUUCAGGUUUUAUUGCAGGUUUAGUGCCGUUUCUCACAGUGUGUCAGGUAGAGAUUUGAUGAAAGAUUCUCUGACCAGGCAUCGAGCCAGAACCAAAGCCGAUAAAAGAAAAAAUGAUGCUUUACAACAGGAACCUAAACAUUCAUGGAACUUCUUGGCAGUAAUUUUGGCAGUAAUUUUGGCAGAGGCAGAGUUACCCACUCUGAUGAAGUUGUAGCAGUUUCUAAUCAAGAAACUGCUAGUGAAAUAACUCCCAGUCUAAUGAAAGAAGUGGUGUACAGGAUAUCAUUCAUUCAGUCGCACUGGAAAAGACAUCAUUGAAGCAAGCAUUUCACAAGAAGAAAAAGGAACUAAUCAAGAAAGCGAGUGGAAAACUUGCAUGAAAGACAAGGAAGAUGCUUGGGAUUCCAAGAGAGAUGCUGUCUUUCAAAACUACAUUAGCUCCCGUUCCCACAGUGCAAGUAAAUGUGGUGUAUGUGAAAAAGUCACUAAUCCUGUUUGUUGCUUUACUUGCAAGCAAGGUUUCUGCAGCAAAUGUGAUAUGAUCACUCACCGCAAACUGUUGGUACUACACAAUAGGGAGGUGUUUGAGAAUGGCAAAAAUUUAAAAUUCUUGCGCCAAAACGAGUUCAUAUCUGAAGAUGGGUACAUCACUGUUGAAGUGUCCCUUCCUGAAUGCAAAAGCCCUCAUUCGUGUACUGCGAAACCUGGUUCAAGAGACGUAACCGUAGUUACAGCCAAUGGUAAAUGAGGGCAACUUCACGGAGGACAACCGAUUACCAGGAUUACAUCGACGAAGACACAAACAAUUAUCAACACUAGACGCUGAUGAAGAAAAUGAUGACAUCAAUUAAUAUCCAUAGUUCAAAACGCGCACAUAUAUUGUUAUGCAAAUCUUGGUAUAACAUAUGAAAUACAGCUAUUGUUUGAAGGGAAUAAAAUUAUUAUUACG
RNAcentral lists this long non-coding RNA (959 nucleotides) under Daphnia pulex (common water flea). Its description in RNAcentral is "uncharacterized LOC124193068". The record is from RNAcentral. Lineage: Eukaryota; Metazoa; Arthropoda; Branchiopoda; Diplostraca; Daphniidae.